UAGCCUUCUUUGACUAAAAAGGACUAAUUCCUGACCUUGUGUUUUCAAAACAGUAAUCCAAAUGCUAAAGAAUUGAGACUAUGUAGUCAUCUUUAUUUUUGCUUCUCCCUUGUGGAAAUAGUGGUGCCAUUAUAAAUCCAUCAAGCCUUUUAUAGAAUCCAUGUAUUCGUUUCCUGUUAAAGAUCAAAGCCAAAACGCAAUGUUUUUCUUUGUCAAAACGAAGAGAAGUUGGAUUUUGCAUUGGACGAUAUGAGACCGAGAUGGCAUUUGAUUUAGGAGAGAACUGCUCUCGGAUUGGAGGUGUUUCUUGAUCACAUGUGAGAUCUGUGGAUCAAUUGCACACAAUGUUACUGGUACUUACGAAGCCGAUUCAACAGAGCAACGCAAUGAACCAAACGAAGCAACAACAGCAACUGCUACAGCUGCCAUAGUGAUGCCACCACACUCUACAGAGGCUCGGAACUUCUGGCAAGGCCACAGGUUCCUGAAUUUCUUACUCGCCUGCAUGGUUUUCGCCUUUGUCAUAUCAUGGUUAUUUCACUUCAAAAUACCCUCAUAAUUAUGAAAAAGAAAACUAUAUUUGAAAAGUAGCAUCAAAAGAUUGUCGAAAAUCUUCAUCGGGCUCUCUUCAUUCUGCAAUGCAGCCACUGAAACAAACUCGAAAGAUCAACUAUAUUGCACGGUUACAGGCUUGGGAUUGUGAUUACAAAUAUUCUGUUAAUAUAUAUUAGUGUUAGAGAACCUUGGAGGAAGAGUUUGGCCUUUGUAACAAGUAAGAUGUAUAAUGAAAUUGUUUGUAAGUUUAUAUUGUAUUAUUGGGCUCAGCCUAGCUGGAUUGGCCAUCUCAA
Cucumis melo (muskmelon) is the source of this 848-nucleotide long non-coding RNA. RefSeq lists it as uncharacterized. The record is from RefSeq and is a predicted model, not a curated record. Lineage: Eukaryota; Viridiplantae; Streptophyta; Magnoliopsida; Cucurbitales; Cucurbitaceae. The transcript has 2 exons.